GAGCCCAGAGCCUGAAUCAGCAUGUGUGUUAGUGGAAGCGUCUGGAAAGGCGCGCGAUACAGGGUGACAGCCCCGUACACAAAAGCGCAUGUGCUGUGAGCUCGAUGAGUAGGGCGGGACACGUGGUAUCCUGUCUGAAUAUGGGGGGACCAUCCUCCAAGGCUAAAUACUCCUGACUGACCGAUAGUGAACCAGUACCGUGAGGGAAAGGCGAAAAGAACCCCGGCGAGGGGAGUGAAAAAGAACCUGAAACCGUGUACGUACAAGCAGUGGGAGCACAGGUUUACCUGUGUGACUGCGUACCUUUUGUAUAAUGGGUCAGCGACUUAUAUUCUGUAGCAAGGUUAACCGAAUAGGGGAGCCGGAGGGAAACCGAGUCUUAAUUGGGCGUUAAGUUGCAGGGUAUAGACCCGAAACCCGGUGAUCUAGCCAUGGGCAGGUUGAAGGUUGGGUAACACUAACUGGAGGACCGAACCGACUAAUGUUGAAAAAUUAGCGGAUGACCUGUGGCUGGGGGUGAAAGGCCAAUCAAACCGGGAGAUAGCUGGUUCUCCCCGAAAGCUAUUUAGGUAGCGCCUCGUGAAUUCAUCUCCGGGGGUAGAGCACUGUUUCGGCUAGGGGGCCAUCCCGGCUUACCAACCCGAUGCAAACUGCGAAUACCGGAGAAUGUUAUCACGGGAGACACACGGCGGGUGCUAACGUCCGUCGUGAAGAGGGAAACAACCCAGACCGCCAGCUAAGGUCCCAAAGUCAUGGUUAAGUGGGAAACGAUGUGGGAAGGCCCAGACAGCCAGGAUGUUGGCUUAGAAGCAGCCAUCAUUUAAAGAAAGCGUAAUAGCUCACUGGUCGAGUCGGCCUGCGCGGAAGAUGUAACGGGGCUAAACCAU
Molecule: ribosomal RNA, 887 nt
Filed under: Salmonella enterica subsp. enterica serovar Muenster
Lineage: Bacteria; Pseudomonadati; Pseudomonadota; Gammaproteobacteria; Enterobacterales; Enterobacteriaceae
Also listed under: 1 other name
Description: partial 23S ribosomal RNA
Rfam family: Bacterial large subunit ribosomal RNA
Source: RNAcentral